Molecule: ribosomal RNA, 446 nt
Filed under: uncultured bacterium
Lineage: Bacteria
Description: partial 16S ribosomal RNA
Rfam family: Bacterial small subunit ribosomal RNA
Source: RNAcentral
CCUACGGGAGGCAGCAGUCGAGAAUCAUUCACAAUGGGGGAAACCCUGAUGGUGCGACGCCGCGUGGGGGAAUGAAGGUCUUCGGAUUGUAAACCUCUGUCAUGUGGGAGCAAAUUAAAAAGAUAGUACCACAAGAGGAAGAGCCGGCUAACUCUGUGCCAGCAGCCGCGGUAAUACAGAGGUCUCAAGCGUUGUUCGGAAUCACUGGGCGUAAAGCGUGCGUAGGCUGUUGCGUAAGUCGUGUGUGAAAGGCGCGGGCUCAACCCGCGGACGGCACAUGAUACUGCGAGACUAGAGUAAGGGAGAGGGAACCGGAAUUCUCGGUGUAGCAGUGAAAUGCGUAGAUAUCGAGAGGAACACUCGUGGCGAAGGCGGGUUCCUGGACAUUAACUGACGCUGAGGCACGAAGGCCAGGGGAGCGAAAGGGAUUAGAUACCCCAGUAGUC